UUACCGCGAAGAACCUUACCAAGGCUUGACAUACACCGGAAAACCCUGGAGACAGGGUCCCCCUUGUGGUCGGUGUACAGGUGGUGCAUGGCUGUCGUCAGCUCGUGUCGUGAGAUGUUGGGUUAAGUCCCGCAACGAGCGCAACCCUUGUCCCGUGUUGCCAGCAGGCCCUUGUGGUGCUGGGGACUCACGGGAGACCGCCGGGGUCAACUCGGAGGAAGGUGGGGACGACGUCAAGUCAUCAUGCCCCUUAUGUCUUGGGCUGCACACGUGCUACAAUGGCCGGUACAAUGAGCUGCGAUACCGCGAGGUGGAGCGAAUCUCAAAAAUCCGGUUAUCAUUCGGAUUGGGGUCUGCAACUCGACCCCAUGAAGUCGGAGUCGCUAGUAAUCGCAGAUCAGCAUGAGUAUUCGAAAGAAAAAU
RNAcentral lists this ribosomal RNA (423 nucleotides) under Streptomyces rochei. RNAcentral describes it as "bacterial SSU rRNA". It matches the Rfam family "Bacterial small subunit ribosomal RNA", at positions 956 to 1363 of the family's 1533-position model. Lineage: Bacteria; Bacillati; Actinomycetota; Actinomycetes; Kitasatosporales; Streptomycetaceae. The record is from RNAcentral.